GCCCGGGUAGCUCAACCGGUAGAGCGUGUGGCUCUUAACCUCAAGGUCGUGGGUUCGAGCCCCACCUCGGGCU
This 73-nucleotide transfer RNA is filed under the name Rhynchosporium agropyri. It matches the Rfam family "tRNA". Rfam says of the family: Transfer RNA (tRNA) molecules are approximately 80 nucleotides in length. Their secondary structure includes four short double-helical elements and three loops (D, anti-codon, and T loops). Lineage: Eukaryota; Fungi; Ascomycota; Leotiomycetes; Helotiales; Ploettnerulaceae. The record is from RNAcentral.